GACGUAGGGCGCGGGCGUUGUCCGGAUUUAUUGGGCGUAAAGAGCUCGUAGGCGGUUUGUUGCGUCGGCUGUGAAAUCCCGAGGCUCAACCUCGGGUCUGCAGUCGAUACGAGCAAACUAGAGUGUUGCAGGGGAGACUGGAAUUCCUGGUGUAGCGGUGAAAUGCGCAGAUAUCAGGAGGAACACCGGUGGCGAAGGCGGGUCUCUGGGCAACAACUGACGCUGAGGAGCGAAAGCGUGGGGAGCGAGCAGG
This 253-nucleotide ribosomal RNA is filed under the name uncultured bacterium. RNAcentral's name for it is "partial 16S ribosomal RNA". It matches the Rfam family "Bacterial small subunit ribosomal RNA", at positions 524 to 776 of the family's 1533-position model. The record is from RNAcentral.